Molecule: long non-coding RNA, 750 nt
Filed under: Coturnix japonica (Japanese quail)
Lineage: Eukaryota; Metazoa; Chordata; Aves; Galliformes; Phasianidae
Description: lncRNA (ENSCJPG00005002325.1)
Source: RNAcentral
AUGAGUUUUAACUGCAUUGUUUGCUCUGUUCUUGGGGUUGCAAGGGCUGUUUGUUUUGCUCUGCACUUCCGUUUGUUGUUGCAAUGACUUUGCAUUGUUUGCUCUGCUCCCUUUGCUCUGCACCCCCACGCAUUGGGAUGUUCUGACUGCGUUGUUUGCUCUGUUGCUCCAUCGCGUCGCGUCGGCCUCGCGAGGCUCAGAAAGGAAAGAAAUUAAACCAAAAUAACAACAAAGCAGCAAAAAAAACUCGCCUACAAUGUGAGGAAAUAGGAACCGCCGCCUUCCUGCCCCUGCUGCUGCUCCAUCACGUGUGUGUGUGUGUGUGUGUGUGUGUGUGUGUGUGUGCAGGGCAGGAAGCCGCAGUGGGACGCAGCUGUGCAGCAGGAGCAGCAGGAGCAGCAGGAGCAGGAGGUGCAGCCCGUCCUGCUGUGCUGCACAUGCAUCCCCCACCAGCAGCAGCAGCAGCAGCAGCUCCCAGCUGGGAGGAGGCCGGGCUGCAUUGCACAGAGCUGCAGGCUGCAAGAUGAACCUAACAUGCAUCGCAUGGGGCUGCAGCUGGUGCUGCAAGAUGAACCCAACAUGCAUCGCAUGGAGCUGCAGCUGGUGCUGCAAGAUGAACCCAACAUGCAUCGCACGGGGCUGCAGCUGGUGCUGCAAGAUGAACCCAACAUGCAUCGCACGGGGCUGCAGGCUGCAAGAUGAACCCAACAUGCAAUCGCACGGGGCUGCAGCUGGUGCUGCAAGAUGAAC